AUUUUCUUCUCUUGAUAUUAUUUUAUUACAGUGAUUUAUUCUCUACUAUCCAUUUAUAUCUAGCUUCAUACAAGACCUGUGUUAUUUUUAGCCUGGUCAGAGGAGAAUUGUUGGGUGCACAUGUGGAGUUUUGUGGAGAUGUGUCCAGACGUUUCAGUCUUUAUUGCUUGUCGUGUCCCUCCUUAUUUGAAGAAACUUCUCUGUGCCAAGAUCUUCUUCAGAGGAGAAAAAGCAUUUAAUUUUCAGUGGUUGGACAAUAAAAGCAAGAUUUAUUGCAGCAAGUGAAUAAUAAAAAAAGAAUAACAAGAAAACA
This 313-nucleotide long non-coding RNA is filed under the name Cyanistes caeruleus (blue tit). Its description in RNAcentral is "lncRNA (ENSCCEG00000021117.1)". Lineage: Eukaryota; Metazoa; Chordata; Aves; Passeriformes; Paridae. The record is from RNAcentral.